ACGCUGGUGGUAUGCUUAACACAUGCAAGUCGAACGGGCAUAGCAAUAUGUCAGUGGCAAACGGGUGAGGAAUAUAUAGGAAUCUACCUAGCAGUAAGGAAUAACUUUGGGAAAUCAAAGCUAAUGCCAUAUAUUACCGGUUAGCAAUAAUCGGGAGAGAUUUAUCGCUGUUAGAUGAGCCUGUAUCAGAUUAGCUAGUUGGUGGGGUAAUGGCCUACCAAGGCAAUGAUCUGUAGCUGGUCUGAGAGGAUGAUCAGCCACACUGGAACUGCGACACGGUCCAGACUCCUACGGGAGGCAGCAGUGGGGAAUAUUGGACAAUGGGCGCAAGCCUGAUCCAGCAAUACCACGUGAGUGAUGAAGGCCUUCGGGUUGUAAAACUCUUUUAGUGGGGAAGAUAAUGACUGUACCCACAGAAAAAGCACCGGCUAACUUCGUGCCAGCAGCCGCGGUAAUACGAAGGGUGCUAGCGUUGUUCGGAAUCAUUGGGCGUAAAGCGUGCGUAGGCGGCUUGACAAGUCAGCUGUGAAAGCCCAGGGCUCAACCUUGGAAUUGCAGUUGAAACUGUUUCGCUAGAGUGUGAAGAGGGAUAGUGGAAUUCUUAGUGUAGGGGUGAAAUCCGUAGAUAUUAAGAGGAACACCGGUGGCGAAAGCGACUAUCUAUGUCAUUACUGACGCUGUUGCACGAAAGCGUGGGGAGCAAACAGGAUUAGAUACCCUGGUAGUCCACGCAGUA
Molecule: ribosomal RNA, 736 nt
Filed under: uncultured bacterium
Lineage: Bacteria
Description: bacterial SSU rRNA
Rfam family: Bacterial small subunit ribosomal RNA
Source: RNAcentral